CUGGAUCUUAUGGUCCAAUUUUAUGUAUGUUUACUUGGCUGUAUUUCCACUAUGUUCAGUUGAUCAUAUACCCAAGUGCUAACAAUUGAUGGCAGCUUCAUGGUAUCUGCUCUCUCUUCUUGAGGUCCUUUAUAUUCACACUGGGCUUGUACAAGAAAGCCAUUCUAACACAUAACACCUUCAGAUAGAGGACUGCCCUUGACAUCCCUUCAGUGGCCACCUCUGUAUUCACAGGAUUGCUCACCUCAAAAUUGAACUGAGACCAGUCUGCCACAUCUUUAUAGCAGAUCCCAUAUUUCUUGAGCAGCUGGCAAUGAUGCUGCAAGUGACAAGUGCUGGGCAGAAUAGACCUUUGAUCUUUCCUAGUAAGCUGGAUUUUACAUGGACAAGCUUCCAAUUCUGAAGGCCUUGAGUCUACUAUCUCUAAAGGACUUGGAUAUGAUCUCAAGGGCAGUGAAUGACCGAAUUUCCAUUAAUUGCGAAUGUAGAGGUGAAGAUCCCCAGGAUAUCAGGUGUAUGACCAUUGCAUCCAAAUGUGCAAAAAGCCACAAGCAGAGCAAUCGCACUUUAAUGAAAAAUAAAGUGU
Podarcis raffonei (Aeolian wall lizard) is the source of this 586-nucleotide long non-coding RNA. RefSeq lists it as uncharacterized. The transcript has 3 exons. Lineage: Eukaryota; Metazoa; Chordata; Lepidosauria; Squamata; Lacertidae. The record is from RefSeq and is a predicted model, not a curated record.